RNAcentral lists this ribosomal RNA (127 nucleotides) under Streptomyces albidoflavus. Its description in RNAcentral is "partial 16S ribosomal RNA". It matches the Rfam family "Bacterial small subunit ribosomal RNA", at positions 1089 to 1209 of the family's 1533-position model. The record is from RNAcentral. Lineage: Bacteria; Bacillati; Actinomycetota; Actinomycetes; Kitasatosporales; Streptomycetaceae.
GCAACGAGCGCAACCCUUGUCCCGUGUUGCCAGCAGGCCCUUGUGGUGCUGGGGACUCACGGGAGACCGCCGGGGUCAACUCGGAGGAAGGUGGGGACGACGUCAAGUCAUCAUGCCCCUUAUGUCU